CGGGGGGUGCAAGCGUUGUUCGGAUUUAUUGGGCGUAAAGCGCGUGUAGGCGGUUUGUUAAGACUGAUGUGAAAGCCCUGGGCUCAACCCAGGAAGUGCAUUGGAUACUGGCAGACUUGAAUACGGGAGAGGGUAGUGGAAUUCCUGGUGUAGGAGUGAAAUCCGUAGAUAUCAGGAGGAACACCGGUGGCGAAGGCGGCUACCUGGACCGAUAUUGACGCUGAGACGCGAAAGCGUGGGUAGCAAACAGGAUUAGAUACCCUGGUAGUCCACGCCGUAAACGAUGAGUACUAGGUGUUGCGGGUAUUGACCCCUGCAGUGCCGCAGCUAACGCAUUAAGUACUCCGCCUGGGAAGUACGGUCGCAAGACUA
This 372-nucleotide ribosomal RNA is filed under the name uncultured organism. RNAcentral describes it as "bacterial SSU rRNA". It matches the Rfam family "Bacterial small subunit ribosomal RNA", at positions 526 to 896 of the family's 1533-position model. The record is from RNAcentral.